This 253-nucleotide ribosomal RNA is filed under the name uncultured bacterium. RNAcentral describes it as "partial 16S ribosomal RNA". It matches the Rfam family "Bacterial small subunit ribosomal RNA", at positions 524 to 776 of the family's 1533-position model. The record is from RNAcentral.
UACGUAGGUGGCAAGCGUUAUCCGGGUUUAUUGGGCGUAAAGGGAACGCAGGCGGUCUUUUAAGUCUGAUGUGAAAGCCUUCGGCUUAACCGGAGUAGUGCAUUGGAAACUGGGAGACUUGAGUGCAGAAGAGGAGAGUGGAACUCCAUGUGUAGCGGUGAAAUGCGUAGAUAUAUGGAAGAACACCAGUGGCGAAAGCGGCUCUCUGGUCUGUAACUGACGCUGAGGUUCGAAAGCGUGGGUAGCAAACAGG